AAUAAGACGAUAUUACCUUAUGUUUUUGGGAUUUUCAAAACAAACUGAAAUAUUUUAGUGAAAUGCGUAACUCAACAGACAUUAAAUUAGCCAGAAUUUAAAUUCUCUAGCAGCUGAGAGCCACUCGCUUAAGAGGAGACUGACCGACAAAACCACAAAUUUGCCAUUUGACGGUUGACCGUUUCCACCAACAUUUUUGAAUUUGACCUAACGUUAGGCAGCUAGCUAGCUAACGGCUACAUUUUCCUCGGUUUAACUUUACAAAUGGCGAAUCCACAGAGGAACUGCCUAGCUUUUCUACUUGGUGAGAAGUCACACAACCUGGUCCAACGCCCUCAAAAAAGACAUUUCAACCAUGCGGUGUGCACAAACGGGUCCGUGGAAGACGCCGCCUGGACCCGAGGAGGCCGGUUAAUUGAUCAACGCAGCUAACUGUUUCCGUAAGGGAUUCAGAAAAGCACAUAUCAAAGGUGUGACGAAACUCGAGAUAUCCAUUAUUAUAGAUUCAUGGGGGGAGGAUACUGGAAGAUACCCCAAAGCUUCAAGGAGAGUUGUAUAUUCUCAUAUUGUCUUAAAACCCUGUGGCUACAGUUGUCUGUCAAGGGCAUAGACUGGAUCCAACUUUUGAUGUAGAGUACCGACUUUUUUUUCC
Molecule: long non-coding RNA, 652 nt
Organism: Myripristis murdjan (pinecone soldierfish)
Lineage: Eukaryota; Metazoa; Chordata; Actinopteri; Holocentriformes; Holocentridae
Exons: 3
Source: RefSeq, a predicted model, not a curated record